RNAcentral lists this ribosomal RNA (498 nucleotides) under uncultured freshwater bacterium. Its description in RNAcentral is "bacterial SSU rRNA". It matches the Rfam family "Bacterial small subunit ribosomal RNA", at positions 8 to 501 of the family's 1533-position model. The record is from RNAcentral.
AGAGUUUGAUCCUGGCUCAGGAUGAACGCUAGCGGCAGGCCUAAUACAUGCAAGUCGAACGGCAGCGGGUGUAGCAAUACAUGCCGGCGAGUGGCGCACGGGUGCGUAACGCGUAUGCAACCUACCCAUAACUGGGGGAUAGCCCGGAGAAAUUCGGAUUAAUACCCCAUAAUAUAUCGGAUUGGCAUCUUUCUGAUAUUAAAGCUCAGGCGGUUAUGGAUGGGCAUGCGUGACAUUAGUUUGUUGGUGAGGUAACGGCUCACCAAGACUACGAUGUCUAGGGGUUCUGAGAGGAUGAUCCCCCACACUGGUACUGAGACACGGACCAGACUCCUACGGGAGGCAGCAGUAAGGAAUAUUGGGCAAUGGAGGCAACUCUGACCCAGCCAUGCCGCGUGAAGGAUGAAGGCCCUAUGGGAUGAAAACUUCUUUUGUAUGGGAAUAAACGCGGAUACGAGAAACCGUCGGAAUGUACCAUAAGAAUAAGCACCGUGUAAC